This 364-nucleotide long non-coding RNA is filed under the name Nicotiana benthamiana. Its description in RNAcentral is "long non-coding RNA (NBEN_LNC026038)". The record is from RNAcentral. Lineage: Eukaryota; Viridiplantae; Streptophyta; Magnoliopsida; Solanales; Solanaceae.
ACUCAGAAAGAGCCAGCAGGAAAGUCCUCUGCCUGGAAUAGCAAAGCUGCAGUCGAUAAUGAAGACACCAGUAUUGCUGGUAAUCAAUCAUCUGAUUUCCAGAGUGGUGGUGGUUGGAAUGCCUCCAAACCACCAAAUGAAGGAUGGUCUUCUGGUUGGAAUAAGAAUUCAGUCUCAAAGGAGGUAGGAGGUUCUAAUGGAAACCAGUCUGAUUGGGACAUCAAAUGAAGGAUGGUCAUCUGGUUGGAAUAAGAAUUCAGCCUCAAAGGAGGUAGGAGGUUCUAGUGGAAACCAGUCUGAUUGGGACAAAAAAUCUGGUGAAUCUGGGAGCAAGCAGUCAGCUGGUUGGGACAAUAAGAUCACU